GAACGAACGCUGGCGGCAUGCCUAACACAUGCAAGUCGAACGAUUGCCUUCGGGUGAUCGUGGCGCACGGGUGCGUAACGCGUGGGAAUCUGCCCUUAGGUUCGGAAUAACAGCUGGAAACGGCUGCUAAUACCGGAUGAUAUCGCGAGAUCAAAGAUUUAUCGCCUGAGGAUGAGCCCGCGUUGGAUUAGGUAGUUGGUGGGGUAAAGGCCUACCAAGCCGACGAUCCAUAGCUGGUCUGAGAGGAUGAUCAGCCACACUGGGACUGAGACACGGCCCAGACUCCUACGGGAGGCAGCAGUGGGGAAUAUUGGACAAUGGGCGCAAGCCUGAUCCAGCAAUGCCGCGUGAGUGAUGAAGGCCCUAGGGUUGUAAAGCUCUUUUACCCGGGAAGAUAAUGACUGUACCGGGAGAAUAAGCCCCGGCUAACUCCGUG
This 436-nucleotide ribosomal RNA is filed under the name uncultured bacterium. RNAcentral describes it as "partial 16S ribosomal RNA". It matches the Rfam family "Bacterial small subunit ribosomal RNA", at positions 27 to 507 of the family's 1533-position model. The record is from RNAcentral.